This 566-nucleotide long non-coding RNA is filed under the name Nicotiana benthamiana. RNAcentral describes it as "long non-coding RNA (NBEN_LNC029544)". Lineage: Eukaryota; Viridiplantae; Streptophyta; Magnoliopsida; Solanales; Solanaceae. The record is from RNAcentral.
AAUUCUCCUCUUAAAGUUUGGAGACGUACCUUCUUUACUUGCUCGGAACCUUUGCAAGACGUUUGGAGUUACUCCCACGCUUCCUUAGCAGUGGUUGCACUUGAGAUCUUCUCGAACCCAUCAUCGUCGAAUGCUUGGUAGAUGAGGUAGAGAGCUUUCUUGUCUCUCUUUCUUGAAUCCUUCAAACCAUCUUUUUGAGUUUGGGAUAAUGUAGAUUCAUCUCGGGGCUCAUUGUAAUCUUUCUCUACAAUAUCCCAAACAUCAUGUGCACCUAGGAGAGCCUUCAUUUUGAUACUCCAAUUAUCAUAGUUGCUCUUGUUGAGCAUAGGAACUUGGAAGGAUGCAACACCAUUUGCCAUGGUUUUAGAAAUUUUUGGUUAGAAUCUUGCGGCUCUGAUACCACUUUGUUGAAAGAGGAUUACUAUUAAUAUUUGGAGGGAGGCUUUUAGGCUAAGGGAAUUUUGGAAGAGUAGAAAGAUUUUGGAGAAGAGAAACUUUUAUUACUCAAACUUGUUUCUGAUUUUUUUUGGCUUGAUACAAAAUGAGCAAUCCUACACCUAUUUAUA